This 253-nucleotide ribosomal RNA is filed under the name uncultured bacterium. RNAcentral's name for it is "partial 16S ribosomal RNA". It matches the Rfam family "Bacterial small subunit ribosomal RNA", at positions 524 to 776 of the family's 1533-position model. The record is from RNAcentral.
UACGUAGGGUGCAGGCGUUGUCCGGAAUUAUUGGGCGUAAAGAGCUCGUAGGCGGUUUGUCGCGUCUGCUGUGAAAACUCGGGGCUUAACCCCGGGCCUGCAGUGGGUACGGGCAGACUAGAGUGCGGUAGGGGAGACUGGAAUUCCUGGUGUAGCGGUGAAAUGCGCAGAUAUCAGGAAGAACACCGGUGGCGAAGGCGGGUCUCUGGGCCGUAACUGACGCUGAGGAGCGAAAGCGUGGGGAGCGAACAGG